This 253-nucleotide ribosomal RNA is filed under the name uncultured bacterium. RNAcentral's name for it is "partial 16S ribosomal RNA". It matches the Rfam family "Bacterial small subunit ribosomal RNA", at positions 524 to 776 of the family's 1533-position model. The record is from RNAcentral.
UACGGAGGGUGCAAGCGUUGUUCGGAAUUAUUGGGCGUAAAGGGCAGGUAGGUGGUCUUGAAAGUCUACUGUGAAAUCCCUGAGCUUAACUCAGGAAGUGCGGUGGAUACUCCAAGACUAGAGUGCUGGAGGGGUGCGUGGAAUUCCCGGUGUAGCGGUGAAAUGCGCAGAUAUCGGGAGGAACACCGGUGGCGAAGGCGGUUCUCUGGGCCUGACCUGACGCUGAGGAGCGAAAGCGUGGGGAGCGAACAGG